ACCACUUCAUGGCGGUGUUCCUUUAUUUAUUCUCAGAUUUCCUCCAACAGAGCUAUUCAAAGCUGGUGAUGAAAACUGGAAAAUAUUAUAGAAACGCUUGAAUUU
This is a long non-coding RNA of Haliotis rubra (blacklip abalone), 105 nucleotides long. RefSeq lists it as uncharacterized. NCBI's taxonomy places the organism in Eukaryota, Metazoa, Mollusca, Gastropoda, Lepetellida, Haliotidae. The record is from RefSeq and is a predicted model, not a curated record. The transcript has 2 exons.